GACGUAGGAUGCAAACGUUGUCCGGAUUUAUUGGGCGUAAAGAGUUCGUAGGCGGUUCGUUAAGUCUGAUGUUAAAGACUGGGGCUCAACCCCGGGAGUGCAUUGGAUACUGGCGGACUGGAGUGUGGUAGAGGCUAGUGGAAUUCCCAGUGUAGCGGUGAAAUGCGUAGAUAUUGGGAAGAACACCAGUGGCGUAGGCGACUAGCUGGGCCAUAACUGACGCUGAGGAACGAAAGCCAGGGGAGCGAAUGGG
This 253-nucleotide ribosomal RNA is filed under the name uncultured bacterium. RNAcentral's name for it is "partial 16S ribosomal RNA". It matches the Rfam family "Bacterial small subunit ribosomal RNA", at positions 524 to 776 of the family's 1533-position model. The record is from RNAcentral.